GACAGAGGUCCCGAGCGUUAGGCGGAAUCACUGGGCUUAAAGCGUGUGUAGGCGGAUCGUUAAGUGCCUUGUGAAAUCCCACGGCUUAACCGUGGAACUGCUUGGCAUACUGGCGGUCUUGAGCAACCUAGGGGCAGGCGGAACAAAUGGUGGAGCGGUGAAAUGCGUAGAUAUCUGGAGGAACAUCGGUGGCGAAGGCGGCAUCCUGGACCGGUAUUGACGCUGAGGCGCGAAAGCCAGGGGAGCAAACGGG
RNAcentral lists this ribosomal RNA (253 nucleotides) under uncultured bacterium. RNAcentral's name for it is "partial 16S ribosomal RNA". It matches the Rfam family "Bacterial small subunit ribosomal RNA", at positions 524 to 776 of the family's 1533-position model. The record is from RNAcentral.